GUGUCAGCAGCCGCGGUAAUACGUAGGGGGCAAGCGUUGUCCGGAAUUAUUGGGCGUAAAGGGCGCGUAGGCGGAUAGUUAAGUCCGGUGUGAAAGAUCAGGGCUCAACCCUGAGAGUGCAUCGGAAACUGGUUAUCUUGAGGACAGGAGAGGAAAGUGGAAUUCCACGUGUAGCGGUGAAAUGCGUAGAUAUGUGGAGGAACACCAGUGGCGAAGGCGACUUUCUGGACUGUAACUGACGCUGAGGCGCGAAAGCGUGGGGAGCAAACAGGAUUAGAUACCCCCGUAGUCC
This 292-nucleotide ribosomal RNA is filed under the name uncultured bacterium. Its description in RNAcentral is "partial 16S ribosomal RNA". It matches the Rfam family "Bacterial small subunit ribosomal RNA", at positions 505 to 796 of the family's 1533-position model. The record is from RNAcentral.